This 963-nucleotide long non-coding RNA is filed under the name Homo sapiens (human). Its description in RNAcentral is "novel transcript". Lineage: Eukaryota; Metazoa; Chordata; Mammalia; Primates; Hominidae. The record is from RNAcentral.
GGAAAGGGUGGAGCACAACGUCGAAAGCAGCCGUUGGGAGCCCAGGAGGCGGGGCGCCUGUGGGAGCCGUGGAGGGAACUUUCCCAGUCCCCGAGGCGGAUCCGGUGUUGCAUCCUUGGAGCGAGCUGAGAGCUCGAGAACCUGCUAAGGCCAUCAAACCUAUUGAUCGGAAGUCAGUCCAUCAGAUUUGCUCUGGGCCGGUGGUACCGAGUCUAAGCACUGCGGUGAAGGAGUUAGUAGAAAACAGUCUGGAUGCUGGUGCCACUAAUAUUGUGCUGGGAUUACAGGCAUGAACCACCGCGCCUGGCCCCCGUUCUCCUUACUGGAUCUAAAGCUUAAGGACUAUGGAGUGGAUCUCAUUGAAGUUUCAGGCAAUGGAUGUGGGGUAGAAGAAGAAAACUUCGAAGGCUUAACUCUGAAACAUCACACAUCUAAGAUUCAAGAGUUUGCCGACCUACCUCAGGUUGAAACUUUUGGCUUUCGGGGGGAAGCUCUGAGCUCACUUUGUGCACUGAGUGAUGUCACCAUUUCUACCUGCCAUGUAUCGGCGAAGGUUGGGACUCGACUGGUGUUUGAUCACUAUGGGAAAAUCAUCCAGAAAACCCCCUACCCCCACCCCAGAGGGAUGACAGUCAGUGUGAAGCAGUUAUUUUCUACGCUACCUGUGCACCAUAAAGAAUUUCAAAGGAAUAUUAAGAAGAAACGUGCCUGCUUCCCCUUCGCCUUCUGCCGUGAUUGUCAGUUUCCUGAGGCCUCCCCAGCCAUGCUUCCUGUACAGCCUGCAGAACUGACUCCUAGAAGUACCCCACCCCACCCCUGCUCCUUGGAGGACAACGUGAUCACUGUAUUCAGCUCUGUCAAGAAUGGUCCAGGUUCUUCUAGAUGAUCUGCACAAAUGGCUCCUCUCCUCCUUCCUGAUGUCUGCCAUUAGCACUGGAAUAAAGUUCCUGCUGAAAAUCCACA